AUAAAGGGGAUCCAGAACAGAAGUGCUCGCUAUUCAACCGCCGAAAAAUGCAAUUCUUGUAGAAAUCUCAAAAUGUCAAAAGUUUUUGAUACCAAAUCACAGCAUGGCUUUUUCUAUGGUGUUCCUCAAGGUCUUGGUGUCUUAAUGGGGUAUUUUGGAG
This is a long non-coding RNA of Sebastes umbrosus (honeycomb rockfish), 160 nucleotides long. RefSeq lists it as uncharacterized. NCBI's taxonomy places the organism in Eukaryota, Metazoa, Chordata, Actinopteri, Perciformes, Sebastidae. The transcript has 3 exons. The record is from RefSeq and is a predicted model, not a curated record.